CCUACGUGAGGCAGCAGUGGGGAAUUUUCCACAAUGGGGGAAACCCUGAUGCAGCGACGCCGCGUGAGUGAAGAAGUAUUUCGGUAUGUAAAGCUCUAUCAGCAGGGAAGAAAAUGACGGUACCCGAUUCAGAAGCCCCGGCUAACUACGUGCCAGCAGCCGCGGUCAUCCGUAGGGGGCAAGCGUCAUCCGGAAUUAGUGGGUGUAAAGGGUGCGUAGACGGGAGCACAAGUCUGGAGUGAAAUGCCGGGGCUUAAACCCGGAACGGCUUUGGAAACUGUGCAGCUAGAGUGCAGGAGAGGUAAGUGGAAUUACUAGUGUAGCGGUGAAAUGCGUAAAUAUUAGGAAGAACACCAGUGGCGAAGGCGGCUUGCUGGACUGUACCUGACGUUGAGGCACGAAAGCGUGGGGAGCAAACAGGAUUAGAUACCCGGGUAGUC
RNAcentral lists this ribosomal RNA (440 nucleotides) under uncultured bacterium. RNAcentral describes it as "partial 16S ribosomal RNA". It matches the Rfam family "Bacterial small subunit ribosomal RNA", at positions 338 to 795 of the family's 1533-position model. The record is from RNAcentral.